ACGCUGGCGGCACGCCUAACACAUGCAAGUCGAACGAAGUAGCAAUACUUAGUGGCAGACGGGUGAGUAACAUGUAGGUAUCUGCCCUUUGGCCUGGAAUAACACGAGGAAACUUGUGCUAAUACCGGAUAAGUCUUUACGGAGAAAGCUUUAUGCACCAUUGGAUGAGCCUGCACUUGAUUAGUUUGUUGGUAGGGUAAUGGCCUACCAAGACUGUGAUCAAUAGCUGAUUUGAGAGGAUGAUCAGCCACAUUGGGACUGAGACACGGCCCAAACUCCUACGGGAGGCAGCAGUGGGGAAUCUUGCACAAUGGAGGAAACUCUGAUGCAGCGAUGCCGCGUGAGUGAAGAAGGCCCUUGGGUUGUAAAGCUCUUUCGUCGGGGAAGAAAAUGACUGUACCCGAAUAAGAAGGUCCGGCUAACUUCGUGCCAGCAGCCGCGGUAAUACGAAGGGACCUAGCGUAGUUCGGAAUUACUGGGCUUAAAGAGUUCGUAGGUGGUUGAAAAAGUUGGUGGUGAAAUCCCAGAGCUUAACUCUGGAACUGCCAUCAAAACUUUUCAGCUAGAGUUUGAUAGAGGAAAGCAGAAUUUCUAGUGUAGAGGUGAAAUUCGUAGAUAUUAGAAAGAAUACCAAUUGCGAAGGCAGCUUUCUGGAUCAUUACUGACACUGAGGAACGAAAGCAUGGGUAGCGAAGAGGAUUAGAUACCCUCGUAGUCCAUGCCGUAAACGAUGUGUGUUAGACGUUGGAAAUUUAUUUUCAGUGUCGCAGCGAAAGCGAUAAACACACCGCCUGGGGAGUACGACCGCAAGGUUAAAACUCAAAUGAAUUGACGGGGACCCGCACAAGUAGUGGAGCAUGUGGUUUAAUUCGAAGAUACGCGCAGAACCUUACCAACACUUGACAUGUUCGUCGCGACUCUAAGAGAUUAGAGUUUUCGGUUCGGCCGGACGAAACACAGGUGCUGCAUGGCUGUCGUCAGCUCGUGUCGUGAGAUGUUGGGUUAAGUCCCGCAACGAGCGCAACCCUCACUUUUAGUUGCCAUCAUUAGGUUGGGCACUCUGAAAGAACUGCCAGUGAUGAGCUGGAGGAAGGUGGGGAUGACGUCAAGUCCUCAUGGCCCUUACGUGUUGGGCUACACACGUGCUACAAUGGUAUCUACAACAGGAAGCAAGACUGCGAAGUUAAGCAAAUCCCUAAAAGACACCUCAGUUCGGAUUGCACUCUGCAACUCGAGUGCAUGAAGCUGGAAUUACUAGUAAUCGUGGAUCAGCGUGCCACGGUGAAUGCGUUCCCGGGUCUUGUACACACCGCCCGUCA
Molecule: ribosomal RNA, 1319 nt
Filed under: uncultured Alphaproteobacteria bacterium
Lineage: Bacteria; Pseudomonadati; Pseudomonadota; Alphaproteobacteria
Description: uncultured alpha proteobacterium 16S ribosomal RNA
Rfam family: Bacterial small subunit ribosomal RNA
Source: RNAcentral